UGAAUUUUUAUCUUUAUCAUUGCUUUUAUAACUUCAGAUAUUCGGUUAAUAUGAAAAUGUUACCUAUUCAUCUAUUUUCUUCUAUUACAAAGAGAUAUAUUUCAUCCCUUCUAUUUAAUUUUUUCUACUGCAUUUAUUUUAUGGUUUCUAAGCUCGUAAAACUAGGCACAUAUUUGUGUAAUGUUUUCAUCAUUUGUCAUUACAAUAAAUGAAUGAUUGGAGCACCAUUGCAUUUUGGCAACAUGACCUGCACAAAUUUGUAGCUUUUGGUGCACAUGAUUUCCCUACCCUGGUGGGAAGGGUAUUCUUGAUUCCAUCACAGUUUUUCAAGGUGAUCUCAUUUCUAAUACAUUCAGGCAUAUCAUUCUAUGUUAGUUAUUUCAUAUUCUCUCAUUUGAUGCUAGGGGAAAAAAAUAUAAUUAUGUUUUAUUUAAUUUCGGUUGGAUACCAGUGUUUUUUUAGUUGUAGCUUAUCUGCUGUUAAGAUAACCUGCUCUGCUUAUUGUUGUAAAUAUGUUUUAACUUGUUUUCUCUUGUUUUUUUGGUGACAGGCGAGAAAUUUUCGUUUCCACUGUGGCCUUGUAUAUGUUUCAGAACCAGGAUAUAUGCUUUUUAGAGCUGGAGUUCCUCGGCAUGCCAUUAUUAAAAAGUUUGGAGGUAAGGAAAUAUCACAACUUGAGGAUCUGAUUUCUGUACUUAGCAAUUUUGUUGAAGUUCUUGCUGCUCAGCAAAGCCCAGAGAACCCCAAUUGGUUCCAGGUACAAAACCUUCUUCAAUAGAUGGAAUCCAGACCAGUGAAGAUUACAGAUUCUAUGCUAUAUCAACUGGGUUAAGUGAAUUGAGUAUCAAGGACAAGACAUUAAAUUAAAUCAAAACUCAUGGGGUUUGUCUUAAUGUUUUUCCUGUUAUUUUUUGGCGAAUGUUAAAACAUAAUUUGUGGAUAUGUUAUUUUGUAGUUAAUGGUAAUUGUAUAUUAAAUUGAAUGGGAAAGUGAAUUAAUGUUGUAUUUGCUA
This is a non-coding RNA of Camellia sinensis, 1012 nucleotides long. NCBI's taxonomy places the organism in Eukaryota, Viridiplantae, Streptophyta, Magnoliopsida, Ericales, Theaceae. The record is from RefSeq and is a predicted model, not a curated record.